CCAUGAAAGAUCAUGUCCAUGUUAUCAAGUUAACAUGUUGCAAGCAAAUGAUAGACGGCAGCAAGAUCUAGGUAACAAAACAUCUCAUCUAAGGAGACAACUGGGUGAGUUCAGUUCACCCUAUAGGUCUCUUGCUCUUCUGUUUCAGUCUGUCUGUCGUCUUGGGUCUACACAAGCCAUAUAUGUUGAAGAAUGUGCAUUGAUGAGCCCGUUCGUUCAUGCCAUGGAAAAGAUAUCAAUCAAUACAGCAUGAUGUUUCUGCUCCACCACCUCUUCUCUUUGGUCUUUAGCCGGUGCCUGUUGUUCCUCUUCGAUCCUUGCUUCUAGCAGUUGAAUCCAAUCAUUUCAAUAAGAUACAGGACACACGAGAAGACUCAUCUCUCCAUGAUUGCCUUCGGGUCUUCGUUCUCGAUCGAUCCACAUCAUGCAAUCUGUCUUGAGGUGCAGAUAUGAUAAAUGUUCAGAGAAGGCUCCACAGAGAGAAGAAACAGAAUCUUGUCUUUUUAAUAGUCUGCAGGGCAUAUUUCUUCGCUGAUAAUACGGCUGUGAUUCAAUGCUGUUGUCAACUUCCACAAAGCAAGGCCAGAAUGACAGAAGUGAUGGGAGAUCUGAAAGCUCGGAAUAAUUAUUGAGUUAGCAAGGCUUGCGUUUGCAACAAAAGCAUUGCUUGCAGAUGAAGCACCAUUAGCCAUUUCUUGGGCAGUAGACUUCCUCUUCGACAUCUGCGGUCUGAACAACCGGUCCUCCAUGUUUUCAAUAUCCAGCAUCAAUGCUAACUUUGUCUAUCUUUCAGAAACAACAUUUCCUUCUGCAUUCUUAUCAUCAUGCACCAACAAAUAGCAUCUGAGAGAGCAAUGCAUUUUAUCCUGCAAAGAAAAGGUGCAUCAGCAUAUGGAAUAAUAAAGUCUUUAUUAUCAACUAAAUAUGGAAUUAUAGGCUAAUGUAGGCGUAGGCUGGCAUUGUUUAGCAGUGGAUUGGCCUGAGAAAUUUGGCCCACCGCGACAAGUAAGCCCACUUGACUCUUCACACAGGACAACAUGACCCACCUCCCAUACAUAAAUAUUUCUUUGGCAAGAUUGUGAAUAUUUGUAUAUCAUACAUUUCUAUUUAUUGUGUAUAUCCUUAUAAAAUGCAAAAAAAAACUUGAGAGUAUGCGGUUAAUUACUGUCACGCGACAAUCAUUUGACUGCCACUUGAAACUUGUAAUAUCUUUAAAAGCAUAUCAUGAUUAUAGAAUGAGAACUUUAGAUAUUUAAAUAUAUUUUUAAUUAAAAUUGAUAUGCAAAGAAUCCUAUUCUUUUACAUGCCACAAGUUGUCGAUGUAUACUAUAAAAGGUAGCUGCUAUGUAGCAUGCGAGACAUGACUUGGGUUUCAUGCUGUCGAACGUACAACAUAGUGUAUAAGUGCAGAAUAACGAUACCUCGCAGUAGGUCGAAACAUCAAGUGGAAAUCCUUGGGGAGGCAGACAAGCAAAGACAGCCUUCGAGUUGUGGGUGAGGUGGGUAAGUUGUCGAAGGGAAGCAAAGGUUGGGUGAGUUGUUAGACAGCAGGAAAGCGAUGGUGACCUCGGAAUCUCAACCCAACCCAACCCCCUCCCCGCCCUUCGCCCUCUCACGCAUUUCCACAACCACAUUGCAGGUCGGACGACAGCAACCGGUGUCGCUUGUGGUUAUGGCGCUUGGACACCAACAGAGGCAGACAAAAGGCCCUGUCCUGUGGAGAAACCUACAAAAUCAAAUGGGGGGUGGGUGUGUGUGCGCGCGCUCUGCGAUGCCCCCCGACGCCCACGAGAAAAGAGCGCCAUUGUUGCUGUGAGGGGCCGAGUGACAUCAACCUUUCUCCUACCCCCCUCCUCGGCUAAAACUGGGGUGACCUCAAUCUAAGUUUGUCUGCUGGUGCCCUUCAGGAAUUCAAACCUUCAGCAGUGGC
RNAcentral lists this long non-coding RNA (1930 nucleotides) under Musa acuminata (dwarf banana). RNAcentral describes it as "long non-coding RNA (MACU_LNC002336)". The record is from RNAcentral. Lineage: Eukaryota; Viridiplantae; Streptophyta; Magnoliopsida; Zingiberales; Musaceae.